UGGUGAGCGGCGGCGUGGCAAAUCUCUUAUAAGAGGAUUUGUUCGCGUUGCUCAUCCACA
RNAcentral lists this microRNA precursor (60 nucleotides) under Caenorhabditis briggsae. RNAcentral describes it as "Cbr-Mir-375_pre stem-loop". Lineage: Eukaryota; Metazoa; Nematoda; Chromadorea; Rhabditida; Rhabditidae. The record is from RNAcentral.